Molecule: ribosomal RNA, 460 nt
Filed under: uncultured bacterium
Lineage: Bacteria
Description: partial 16S ribosomal RNA
Rfam family: Bacterial small subunit ribosomal RNA
Source: RNAcentral
CCUACGGGUGGCAGCAGUGAGGAAUAUUGGUCAAUGGACGAGAGUCUGAACCAGCCAAGUAGCGUGAAGGAUGACUGCCCUAUGGGUUGUAAACUUCUUUUAUAUGGGAAUAAAAUGUUCCACGUGUGGGAUUUUGUAUGUACCAUAUGAAUAAGGAUCGGCUAACUCCGUGCCAGCAGCCGCGGUAAUACGGAGGAUCCGAGCGUUAUCCGGAUUGAUUGGGUUUAAAGGGAGCGUAGGUGGAUUGUUAAGUCAGUUGUGAAAGUUUGCGGCUCAACCGUAAAAUUGCAGUUGAAACUGGCAGUCGUGAGUACAGUAGAGGUGGGCGGAAUGCGUGGUGUAGCGGUGAAAUGCUUAGAUAUCACGAAGAACUCCGAUUGCGAAGGCAGCUCACUGGACUGCAACUGACACUGAGGCUCGAAAGUGUGGGUAUCAAACAGGAUUAGAUACCCGAGUAGUC